AACUUUAACAGAACCCUUCGGGGCGAAGAUAAAGUGGAUUAGCGGCGGACGGGUGAGUAACACGUGAGUAACCUGCCUUAGACAUUGGGAUAGCCUCGGGAAACCGGGAUUAAUACCAAAUAAAAUUAUAAUGACACAUGUCAUAACGAUCAAAACUCCGGUGGUCUAAGAUGGACUCGCGUCCCAUUAGCUAGUUGGUAGAGUAAAAGCCUACCAAGGCGACGAUGGGUAGCCGGCCUGAGAGGGUGAACGGCCACAUUGGAACUGAGAAACGGUCCAAACUCCUACGGGAGGCAGCAGUGGGGAAUAUUGCACAAUGGAGGGAACUCUGAUGCAGCGACGCCGCGUGAACGAAGAAGGCUUUCGAGUCGUAAAGUUCUUUUAUAUGGAAGAUAAUGACGGUACCAUAAGAAAAAGCCCCGGCUAA
Molecule: ribosomal RNA, 427 nt
Filed under: uncultured Peptoniphilus sp.
Lineage: Bacteria; Bacillati; Bacillota; Tissierellia; Tissierellales; Peptoniphilaceae
Description: bacterial SSU rRNA
Rfam family: Bacterial small subunit ribosomal RNA
Source: RNAcentral